This 497-nucleotide ribosomal RNA is filed under the name uncultured bacterium. RNAcentral describes it as "partial 16S ribosomal RNA". It matches the Rfam family "Bacterial small subunit ribosomal RNA", at positions 28 to 507 of the family's 1533-position model. The record is from RNAcentral.
GAUGAACGCUGGCGGCGUGCCUAAUACAUGCAAGUCGAGCGAACAGACGAGGAGCUUGCUCCUCUGACGUUAGCGGCGGAAGGGUGAGUAACACGUGGAUAACCUACCUAUAAGACUGGGAUAACUUCGGGAAACCGGAGCUAAUACCGGAUAAUAUAUUGAACCGCAUGGUUCAAUAGUGAAAGACGGUUUUGCUGUCACUUAUAGAUGGAUCCGCGCCGCAUUAGCUAGUUGGUCAGGUAACGGCUUACCAAGGCAACGAUGCGUAGCCGACCUGAGAGGGUGAUCGGCCACACUGGAACUGAGACACGGUCCAGACUCCUACGGGAGGCAGCAGUAGGGAAUCUUCCGCAAUGGGCGAAAGCCUGACGGAGCAACGCCGCGUGAGUGAUGAAGGUCUUCGGAUCGUAAAACUCUGUUAUUAGGGAAGAACAAAUGUGUAAGUAACUAUGCACGUCUUGACGGUACCUAAUCAGAAAGCCACGGCUAACUACGUG